RNAcentral lists this long non-coding RNA (207 nucleotides) under Vigna radiata. RNAcentral's name for it is "long non-coding RNA (VRAD_LNC002499)". The record is from RNAcentral. Lineage: Eukaryota; Viridiplantae; Streptophyta; Magnoliopsida; Fabales; Fabaceae.
CCCGGUCCGAGAUCAUCUUAGGACAGUAGAGAUCUUCUAGUAUGUACAUUAUAUUGGCUAAGACUUUGCAAAAUUUAAGAUAAAUUGUGAUGUUAACAGCUAAAACAUGUUAGAAUAUCAUUAAACAAGUUAAUAAAAGAGAUUAUUUAUAUGGGUGAAGCUCAUUCAUAUGUAAAAAUCUAUAAAUAUAAUAUAAAUAACAUUAUU